RNAcentral lists this non-coding RNA (48 nucleotides) under Schistosoma mansoni. Lineage: Eukaryota; Metazoa; Platyhelminthes; Trematoda; Strigeidida; Schistosomatidae. The record is from RNAcentral.
AUCCAGCUGACGAGUCCCAAAUACGACGGAACGCGCGUCAAACUGGAU